UACGGAGGGUGCAAGCGUUAAUCGGAUUUACUGGGCGUAAAGGGCGCGCAGGCGGCUAUCCAAGUCAGGCGUGAAAGCCCCGGGCUUAACCUGGGAGGUGCGUCUGGGACUGGGUGGCUAGAGAUCGGGGAGAGGAGAGUGGAAUUCCCAGUGUAGAGGUGAAAUUCGUAGAUAUUGGGAAGAACACCGGUGGCGAAGGCGGCUCUCUGGACCGAUACUGACGCUGAGGCGCGAAAAGCGUGGGGGAGCAAACAGGG
RNAcentral lists this ribosomal RNA (257 nucleotides) under uncultured bacterium. RNAcentral describes it as "partial 16S ribosomal RNA". It matches the Rfam family "Bacterial small subunit ribosomal RNA", at positions 524 to 777 of the family's 1533-position model. The record is from RNAcentral.